CUUACAGAUUCUCUCUGCCUGCCCUACCCAUCAUAAUUUUUUCUCUCAUUUGUUGGGCACAGAUGACACACUAUUUGGAGUUCAUUCUCUCCUCUGCUACUGGCCUCUUGGGCAAAGAACUGCCCCCACCCCGACUGCUAACCUUGGUCAUGCUGUCCUAACUGUGCUUGCAGGAGAUAAACUUAAAGAAGACUGCUUAACCCUGCCCAGUCAAAAAGAAUACAUCUCUCAACUCUCUUCAUAGAAGUUUCUUUUUGGAGAAGAUGGCAAUUAAUAAAGAAACACACAACCAGUCAAUGUUAACAUGCAAAGAAUAAGAGACUUCGAGAGACUCCCCAUGCUAAAGUAGAUGACCUCAUUCCUAUGAGCAUAAAGACAGCACUGGAUGGAUUCAUUAGAUAUUAAUUUUAAAAAAUGAGAGAAUGAAUCUAGGAUAUACUGAUGUGGAAGCUGUGGAGGUAAAGAGGGGUAGACUUGAUCAAAACAUAUUGUGCAUGUAUGAAUAUGAAACAAAAUAUUACUAUAGCUAAUGGCUGUUUAGAUCAAAGUGCAGUUGGCAAUGGAAAUACGUGGAUAAAUGCUGACGAUAUGUUGUAGAUAGCAUCAACAGGAGUUACUGAGGAAUUAAAUUGUGUAGUGAUUUAAAAAUGAAUAAAGGAUGACUGUUGAUUUAAGAUUUUAGUAACUGAAUAGGGAUUAGAAAUGUAUAGAAUGUAUUAAAGGGUCAAAGAAUAUGCACAGAAAAUAGAGGUUGAAUAUAUCUAUGUUAAGGUUUAUUACAUAUCACCUUUACUCUAGACAUAUUAGGGUAAGAUAUUUCUAGUCUAUAUGAAGGCAAAUCUCAAUGUAUAAAGUAAGCGGGAAAAUCUGUCUUCAGUGGGAAAUUUGUGGCUGUCAAUGCACACUGUACAAACUGGAAAUCAUUAUCAUAAAGAUAUGCUUUCUAUGGAUGUUCAGAGUGGGGGAAACCAACUUAUUAAGGAGAGGGGAGCUUAGGCUGGAGAUUAGGAGCCAGCCCACAUAGCAGUGCAAACAGGAGAUUGCAAAUUAAGAACUUAAAGACAAAGUACAAUCCAGUUAGUUGUGUGGCACUGAUCAAGAUGGAAAGAUUGCAAUCUUUACCAGUUCCCAGCUUCAUGCUACAAUUUGAUGGGAGCCAUAAUGAACACAGCUCAUUGGCUUACAGUUAGGACUCCAUAAAAUUAUAUUUUUUUCUUUGCCGUUUCUGGAAUAACCACACAACAUGGUAACACUAAUGAUGUGCCAGCUAUACACAAAUCUUCAUUAUUGUAGACAGGGAGCAUUUUUGAAGGCUGUCAUUUGGCCUUCAUUUCUAUCCAAUUCCUUUAAUAUCUUAAAAGCCCAGUGAUUACUUAUUUUCUAUGGAAACAAAAUGGUUGAUGGUUUUUUUUUAACUGUAUGUUUCAUAAUAAUUAAAACUGUACCUGCAGCUUAUUAUCAUGUGGUUACUUUCUUUGGUCCCCGUUUGCAUUAGUGUGUGGAAAACUGGAAUGGCUUCUUAAGGCAGUGUGGUCUCAGAUUCCAUUAGGGUUCCAACCUCUACAAAAGUAUGUGUAUUGAAACAACACAAAUUGAAUGGGAGUAGAAGAGGUCAGGUAAAAUAAAGCAUAGUGAGGCAUCAUGUAAAUGGACAGUACUGGAAACAAAUCUCACCAAAACCUGUGCUCCCUCACCCACUUAAUAGUAUUAGCCAGGGAAACUCUCCCUCCAUUUUAAUCAAUAAGUUAUAAAUUUAAGAUCUGUGUUGUAAUAACGUUUCAAUUUUAUUUGUUCAAUGUAGGAAUUCUUCGUUGAGGCUAAAUAAAACAUGCUUUCUAGAAAACAA
This is a non-coding RNA of Cricetulus griseus (Chinese hamster), 1846 nucleotides long. The record is from RefSeq and is a predicted model, not a curated record. NCBI's taxonomy places the organism in Eukaryota, Metazoa, Chordata, Mammalia, Rodentia, Cricetidae.